Molecule: ribosomal RNA, 465 nt
Filed under: uncultured bacterium
Lineage: Bacteria
Description: partial 16S ribosomal RNA
Rfam family: Bacterial small subunit ribosomal RNA
Source: RNAcentral
CCUACGGGAGGCAGCAGUGGGGAAUUUUGGACAAUGGGCGCAAGCCUGAUCCAGCUAUUCCGCGUGUGGGAUGACGGCCCUCGGGUUGUUAACCACUUUAGUAGAGAAAGAAAAGCAGCUAUCGAAUAAAUAGUUCUGCUGACGGUAUUCUAAGAAUAAGCACCGGCUAACUACGUGACAGCAGCCGCGGUAAUACGUAGGGUGCGAGCGUUGAUCGGAAUUACUGGGCGUAAAGGGUGUGCAGGCGGCUGAGUAAGACAGAUGUGAAAUCCCCGGGCUUAACCUGGGAACCGCAGAUGAGACUGCUUGGCUAGAGUGCAGCAGAGGGGGGUGGAAUUCGAGGUGUAGCAGUGAAAUGCGUAGAUAUGAGGAAGAACACCGAUGGCGAAGGCAGCCUCCUGGGACGCAACUGACGCUGAUGCACGAAAGCGUGGGGAGCAAACAGGAUUAGAUACCCGAGUAGUC